GUGUCAGCAGCCGCGGUAAGACAGAGGGUGCAAACGUUGUUCGGAUUUACUGGGCGUAAAGCGCGUGUAGGCGGCUUUGCAAGUCGGAUGUGAAAUCCCACGGCUCAACCGUGGAAGUGCAUCCGAAACUGCAUCGCUGGAGUCUCGGAGAGGAAGGUGGAAUGCUUGGUGUAGAGGUGAAAUUCGUAGAUAUCAAGCAGAACACCUGCGGCGAAGGCGGCCUUCUGGACGAUGACUGACGCUGAGACGCGAAAGCGUGGGGAGCAAACAGGAUUAGAUACCCUGGUAGUCCACGCCGUAAACGAUGAGUGCUAGGUGUCACGGGCUUUGACCCUCGUGGUGCCGUAGCUAACGCAAUAAGCACUCCGCCUGGGGAGUACGGCCGCAAGGCUAAA
RNAcentral lists this ribosomal RNA (395 nucleotides) under uncultured bacterium. Its description in RNAcentral is "bacterial SSU rRNA". It matches the Rfam family "Bacterial small subunit ribosomal RNA", at positions 505 to 898 of the family's 1533-position model. The record is from RNAcentral.